Molecule: ribosomal RNA, 405 nt
Filed under: uncultured bacterium
Lineage: Bacteria
Description: partial 16S ribosomal RNA
Rfam family: Bacterial small subunit ribosomal RNA
Source: RNAcentral
AUUGAACGCUAGCGGGAUGCUUUACACAUGCAAGUCGAACGAGUGGCGGACGUGUGAGUAAUAUAUCGGAACGUGCCCAGUAGCGGGGGCUAACUCCUCGAACGAGUGCCUAAUCCCCCAUACCUUUCGCUUGGCCGAUAUCGGAUUAGCUAGUUGGGGGGGUAAGGGCUCACCACGGCAACGAUCCGUAGCUGGUUUGAGAGGACGACCGGCCACACUGGGACUGAGACACGGCCCAGACUCCUACGGGAGGCAGCAGUGGGGAAUUUUGGACAAUGGGGGAAAGCCUGAUCGAGCCAUCCCGCGUGUAUGAGAAGGCCUUCGGGUUGUAAAGUACUGUUGGCAGAGAAGCGGUAUCUGAAGAAUAAGCACCGGCUAACUACGUGCCAGCAGCCGCGGUAAUUC